GACGAACGCUGGCGGCGUGCUUAACACAUGCAAGUCGAACGGAAAGGCCCUGCUUUUGUGGGGUGCUCGAGUGGCGAACGGGUGAGUAACACGUGAGUAACCUGCCCUUGACUUUGGGGUAACUUCAGGAAACUGGGGCUAAUACCGGAUAGGAGCUCCUGCUGCAUGGUGGGGGUUGGAAAGUUUCGGCGGUUGGGGAUGGACUCGCGGCUUAUCAGCUUGUUGGUGGGGUAGUGGCUUACCAAGGCUUUGACGGGUAGCCGGCCUGAGAGGGUGACCGGCCACAUUGGGACUACGAUACGGCCCAGACUCCUACGGGAGGCAGCAGUGGGGAAUAUUGCACAAUGGGCGGAAGCCUGAUGCAGCAACGCCGCGUGCGGGAUGACGGCCUUCGGGUUGUAAACCGCUUUCGCAUGUGACGAAGCGUGAGUGACGGUAAUGGGUAAAGAAGCACCGGCUAACUACGUG
This 468-nucleotide ribosomal RNA is filed under the name uncultured bacterium. RNAcentral's name for it is "partial 16S ribosomal RNA". It matches the Rfam family "Bacterial small subunit ribosomal RNA", at positions 28 to 507 of the family's 1533-position model. The record is from RNAcentral.